RNAcentral lists this long non-coding RNA (424 nucleotides) under Anas platyrhynchos platyrhynchos (common mallard). Its description in RNAcentral is "lncRNA (ENSAPLG00000026830.1)". The record is from RNAcentral. Lineage: Eukaryota; Metazoa; Chordata; Aves; Anseriformes; Anatidae.
UUGCAGGUGGAAGUUGGAGCCCUUCUUGUGUGGAAAUGCCUUGAUGUCUGAAGGGCCAAGGGCCGAGUCCUGCAGACAGGGCAUGAGGGAGGACUCCUGUCUGAGACCUUUGGGCAGCCUGCUCUCUGUUCUGGAGAUGGGCACCGAGCUGAUGGAAUGUCACACCUGCCAAAGUGUUAAACAUAAAAUAUUUUUAUAUGGCAUCUUUUAUCUCACUGCGUUCUGCAAAGCACUGAAGUGGCACUCUGAACUUCCAGAUGAUGGUUACCGUUACUGCUGGGAGAAGAAGCCAGUAAUGUUUUACCCCAUGGUAAGGAAUGGAGUUUGGCUCCCUACAAGAGUCCAGGGAAUCAGAUACUUGGGGAAUUCAAGCCCAAGUGGACCUUGCUGUUGGAGUGGUGCUCCUGCAGGAAAGAUGGUUUGA